RNAcentral lists this transfer-messenger RNA (364 nucleotides) under Bradyrhizobium sp. UFLA03-84. It matches the Rfam family "Alphaproteobacteria transfer-messenger RNA". From Rfam's summary of the family: Bacterial tmRNA, also known as 10Sa RNA or SsrA, is named for its dual tRNA and mRNA-like properties. Lineage: Bacteria; Pseudomonadati; Pseudomonadota; Alphaproteobacteria; Hyphomicrobiales; Nitrobacteraceae. The record is from RNAcentral.
GGCUCUGUUUUUCUACGGCUUUGCCGCUAUAUUGGGGGUGCCGGUUCGCCGGCUAUGGAAAUAAAUGGCCGUCGCAAUAAACCAUUCGGACCCGGGGGCGGUACCCGGCGCCUCCACCAAAACCCAUCCAGCCCGUGCUUCGGUGGCUUUUGGCGGGGGCGAAAUAGGAUCGACGAGGGCGUAAAGGGCGUGUUUUUUCUCGGUAUGGUUCCGCCGUUAUCGGGCUAAUGCAAUAGUUGCCAACGACAACUUUGCUCCGGUUGCUCAGGCUGCGUAACGCAGUUUGAAAGACCAUCUUAAAGUCCUAGCGGGUUAAGCUCCGCUAGGCGGGGUUCGGAGGCACCUGGCAACAGAAGCCUCCACU